RNAcentral lists this ribosomal RNA (465 nucleotides) under Vreelandella stevensii. RNAcentral describes it as "partial 16S ribosomal RNA". It matches the Rfam family "Bacterial small subunit ribosomal RNA", at positions 338 to 795 of the family's 1533-position model. Lineage: Bacteria; Pseudomonadati; Pseudomonadota; Gammaproteobacteria; Oceanospirillales; Halomonadaceae. The record is from RNAcentral.
CCUACGGGGGGCAGCAGUGGGGAAUAUUGGACAAUGGGGGGAACCCUGAUCCAGCCAUGCCGCGUGUGUGAAGAAGGCCCUCGGGUUGUAAAGCACUUUCAGUGAGGAAGAACGCCUGGUGGUUAAUACCCAUCAGGAAAGACAUCACUCACAGAAGAAGCACCAGCUAACUCCGUGCCAGCAGCCGCGGUAAUACGGAGGGUGCGAGCGUUAAUCGGAAUUACUGGGCGUAAAGCGCGCGUAGGUGGCUUGAUAAGCCGGUUGUGAAAGCCCCGGGCUCAACCUGGGAACGGCAUCCGGAACUGUCAAGCUAGAGUGCAGGAGAGGAAGGUGGAAUUCCCGGUGUAGCGGUGAAAUGCGUAGAGAGCGGGAGGAAUACCAGUUGCGAAGGCGGCCUUCUGGACUGACACUGACACUGAGGUGCGAAAGCGUGGGUAGCAAACAGGAUUAGAUACCCCUGUAGUC